AGUUGCAAUUCGCAAUGGUCAAAUGUACAAAGGCAAAAAAGAACACAACACAUAAAACCAUCAGCUUGAGACAAUUUGCAUAAGAAUGAACAAAAGAAUCAUAAUCAUCAGUCGGCUUUUAGAUUUUAAAAGAAACAGUACAGAGAAUUAACCAUCUACUGAUGCAGUUGGUGGUGGUGUAGGUGGUGGUAUCGGUGAUGGCGGUGGUGGUGGAUAUGACGGUGCGGCGGUGCGCAACCGUCGGAAUCGGAAACGGAAUCUAUUUUCCGGCGAUAGUGUGUACGUGAGUGCGUGCGU
RNAcentral lists this long non-coding RNA (297 nucleotides) under Helianthus annuus (common sunflower). RNAcentral describes it as "hypothetical non coding rna". The record is from RNAcentral. Lineage: Eukaryota; Viridiplantae; Streptophyta; Magnoliopsida; Asterales; Asteraceae.